GCCAGACUCCUACGGGAGGCAGCAGUGGGGAAUAUUGCACAAUGGGGGGAACCCUGAUGCAGCGAUGCCGCGUGGAGGAAGAAGGUUUUCGGAUUGUAAACUCCUUUUAUCAGGGACGAUAAUGACGGUACCUGAAGAAAAAGCUCCGGCUAACUACGUGCCAGCAGCCGCGGUAAUACGUAGGGAGCGAGCGUUGUCCGGAAUUACUGGGUGUAAAGGGCGUGCAGCCGGAGAGACAAGUCAGAUGUGAAAUCCACGGGCUCAACCCGUGAACUGCAUUUGAAACUGUUUCCCUUGAGUGUCGGAGAGGUAAUCGGAAUUCCUUGUGUAGCGGUGAAAUGCGUAGAUAUAAGGAAGAACACCAGUGGCGAAGGCGGAUUACUGGACGAUAACUGACGGUGAGGCGCGAAAGCGUGGGGAGCAAACAGGAUUAGAUACCCGCGUA
RNAcentral lists this ribosomal RNA (445 nucleotides) under uncultured bacterium. RNAcentral's name for it is "bacterial SSU rRNA". It matches the Rfam family "Bacterial small subunit ribosomal RNA", at positions 330 to 792 of the family's 1533-position model. The record is from RNAcentral.